UGGGGAAUAUUGCACAAUGGGCGCAAGCCUGAUGCAGCGACGCCGCGUGAGGGAUGAAGGCCUUCGGGUUGUAAACCUCUUUCAGCAGGGAAGAAGCGCAAGUGACGGUACCUGCAGAAGAAGCGCCGGCUAACUACGUGCCAGCAGCCGCGGUAAUACGUAGGGCGCAAGCGUUGUCCGGAAUUAUUGGGCGUAAAGAGCUCGUAGGCGGUUUGUCGCGUCUGCUGUGAAACCUCGAGGCUCAACCUCGGGCUUGCAGUGGGUACGGGCAGACUAGAGUGCGGUAGGGGUGACUGGAAUUCCUGGUGUAGCGGUGGAAUGCGCAGAUAUCAGGAGGAACACCGAUGGCGAAGGCAGGUCACUGGGCCGCAACUGACGCUGAGGAGCGAAAGCAUGGGGAGCGAACAGGAUUAGAUACCCUGGUAGUCCAUGCCGUAAACGUUGGGCACUAGGUGUGGGGCUCAUUCCACGAGUUCC
This 477-nucleotide ribosomal RNA is filed under the name uncultured Actinomycetes bacterium. Its description in RNAcentral is "bacterial SSU rRNA". It matches the Rfam family "Bacterial small subunit ribosomal RNA", at positions 355 to 842 of the family's 1533-position model. Lineage: Bacteria; Bacillati; Actinomycetota; Actinomycetes. The record is from RNAcentral.